Molecule: ribosomal RNA, 480 nt
Filed under: uncultured bacterium
Lineage: Bacteria
Description: partial 16S ribosomal RNA
Rfam family: Bacterial small subunit ribosomal RNA
Source: RNAcentral
GAUGAACGCUGGCGGCGUGCUUAACACAUGCAAGUCGAACGGAACUACUCCAAUGAGAGUCUUCGGAAAGGAUUUGGUUUAGUUUAGUGGCGGACGGGUGAGUAACGCGUGGGUAACCUGCCCUAUACAGGGGGAUAACAGUUGGAAACGACUGUUAAUACCGCCUAAGCGCACAGGAGCGCAUGCUCCGGUGUGAAAAACUCCGGUGGUAUAGGAUGGACCCGCGUCUGAUUAGCUGGUUGGCGGGGUAACGGCCCACCAAGGCGACGAUCAGUAGCCGGCCGGAGAGGGUGAACGGCCACAUUGGGACUGAGACACGGCCCAAACUCCUACGGGAGGCAGCAGUGGGGAAUAUUGCACAAUGGGGGAAACCCUGAUGCAGCGACGCGGCGUGAGCGAAGAAGUAUCUCGGUAUGUAAAGCUCUAUCAGCAGGGAAGAAAAUGACGGUACCUGACUAAGAAGCCCCGGCUAACUACGUG